This 253-nucleotide ribosomal RNA is filed under the name uncultured bacterium. Its description in RNAcentral is "partial 16S ribosomal RNA". It matches the Rfam family "Bacterial small subunit ribosomal RNA", at positions 524 to 776 of the family's 1533-position model. The record is from RNAcentral.
UACGGAGGGCGCAAGCGUUGUUCGGAAUCACUGGGCGUAAAGCGCGUGUAGGCGGCUCUGCAAGUCGGGUGUGAAAUCCCGAGGCUCAACCUCGGAACUGCACUCGAUACUGCUUGGCUCGAGUCCCGGAGAGGGUGGCGGAAUUCCCGGUGUAGGGGUGAAAUCCGUAGAUAUCGGGAGGAACACCAGUGGCGAAGGCGGCCACCUGGACGGUGACUGACGCUGAGACGAGAAAGCGUGGGGAGCAAACAGG